This 68-nucleotide transfer RNA is filed under the name Rattus norvegicus (Norway rat). It matches the Rfam family "tRNA". Rfam says of the family: Transfer RNA (tRNA) molecules are approximately 80 nucleotides in length. Their secondary structure includes four short double-helical elements and three loops (D, anti-codon, and T loops). Lineage: Eukaryota; Metazoa; Chordata; Mammalia; Rodentia; Muridae. The record is from Rfam by way of RNAcentral.
GAGGAUUUAGCUCAGUGGUAGAGCGCUUGCCUAGCAAAUGCAAGGCCCUGGGUUCGAUCCCCAGCUCC